UGCAGCAAGAAAGGAUGAAACCCGUAGCCCUUCUUCUCCAAUUUUCUCCAAAAUUCAAAUGAUCAUAACUUCUUCGUUUCUCAACGAAAUUGAGCGAUUCUUGCGGCCACGGAACGAGAAAACGAUUAUCUACAGAUAUGUGGCAUUAAUUUGAGUGAGUUUUUAAGCUUGAAUUGGAUGCAAAAUGAUGAUGGAUCUAAGGUUUUUAAGGUGAAAUUGAGCUUGAUUAAAGGGAUUUGAUGGUGAUUGUUCGUACUAGAACCAUUUGACAUAGAGGCAUCGUUCAAGGUGAGCAAGUUUCUAAGUUUGAUGAGUAUUUGAUUGAUAAAUAUUGAUGAAUUUUAUAGCUUAUGGUUCGGCAAUCAUGUGUUGUUUAUAAUGAUUGACGUUUGAUGGUGUUGUGUUAGAAAAUCGUAAGUUUUGGUUGAUUAAAUUUCAGAAUGAAUAGAGCUAAGUAUUUGGCCAUGAUGAAGGUUAAAGGAAUGUAAUUCAAAUGAUGAUAAUUGGCAUUGGAUUAUGUUGUUAUGGCUGAAUAUAAAUUGCAUUUGAGUCAAGAAUGAUUGUUAAAGCUUUGAAAUGAAAAUGGAUGAAUAGGUUUGGCCUAGAUGGGUUUCAUGACUAAGUGGAAUUGAUAUGUUUAAGUGAUGGAUUGUACAUGGCAUUGAUAUUUAAGGUGGCUGGAUUGUGUCGUUGAUAAAGCAUGGUUUUGAUAGAUUAUAGGUAUCGUAGAUUACGAUUAAGAGUUACGUAAACUAGUUGGCGUUUUGUAAAAAUAUUCUUCUGCAAAACAGCAAUAUUGCAGAGGAAAUAUCCCGGGCUGUAUAAAUCCAAAUCAAGUUCCGUUUGUUGGUACGGAAACUUUGAGAUGUUAACUACAAUUGUCUAACUUUAAGUUUUCUCUAAUUAUGCCUCUAAGAUGAUCAAAUUGAACAGAACAUUUUAUUGCUCAGAGCAGGUCUGCAGUUUUAGGACAGCCCUAUGUAAAAACCUUAUGGGCUAGAUUCCGACACCUUCGGGUGCGAAUUUCAUUCCGAGACCUAAACGAAAGUUGUAGGCGAUAUU
Mercurialis annua (annual mercury) is the source of this 1062-nucleotide long non-coding RNA. RefSeq lists it as uncharacterized. The transcript is spliced from 3 exons. NCBI's taxonomy places the organism in Eukaryota, Viridiplantae, Streptophyta, Magnoliopsida, Malpighiales, Euphorbiaceae. The record is from RefSeq and is a predicted model, not a curated record.